This 440-nucleotide ribosomal RNA is filed under the name uncultured bacterium. Its description in RNAcentral is "bacterial SSU rRNA". It matches the Rfam family "Bacterial small subunit ribosomal RNA", at positions 338 to 795 of the family's 1533-position model. The record is from RNAcentral.
CCUACGGGGGGCAGCAGUGGGGAAUAUUGCACAAUGGGGGAAACCCUGAUGCAGCAACGCCGCGUGCGCGAUGAAGGCCAUCGGGUCGUAAAGCUCUGUCCUAAGGGAAGAAUACUGACGGUACCUUAGGAGGAAGCCCCGGCUAACUCCGUGCCACAAGCUGCGGUAAUACGUAGGGGGCUAGCGUUAGCCGGAUUUACUGGGCGUAAAGGGUGAGGAGGCGGCCCUUCAAGUCAGAGGUGAUAGGCGACGGCUCAACCGUAGUCAGCCUUUGAAUCUGUAGGGGAUGAGUGCAGGAGGGGAGUGGGGAGUUCUCAGUGUAGAGGUGAAAUUCAUAGAUAUUGGGAGGAACACCAGUUGCGAAGGCGGCUCUCUGGACUGUAACUGACGCUGAGGCACGAAAGCGUGGGGAGCGAACAGGAUUAGAUACCCGAGUAGUC